GAUGAACGCUGGCGGCGUGCUUAACACAUGCAAGUCGAACGUGAGAAUAGAAAUAUUUGAAAGUGGCAAACGGGUGAGUAACACGUGGGAACCUGCCCUGGAGUGGGGGAUAACGACUGGAAACGGUCGCUAAUACCGCAUGGUUCUGUAUCGGGUGGAAUGAUACAGAUAAAGAUUUAUUGCUCUAGGAGGGGCCCGCGGCCGAUUAGCUAGUUGGUGAGGUAAAGGCUCACCAAGGCGAUUAUCGGUAGCUGGUCUGAGAGGACGAUCAGCCACACGGGAACUGAGACACGGUCCCGACUCCUACGGGGGGCAGCAGUGAGGAAUAUUGGGCAAUGGGCGAAAGCCUGACCCAGCAACGCCGCGUGGAGGAUGAAGGCUCUAGGGUUGUAAACUCCUUUUGUGGGGGAAAAGAGAGGAUGGUACCCCAAGAAUAAGUCACGGCUAACUACGUG
Molecule: ribosomal RNA, 455 nt
Filed under: uncultured bacterium
Lineage: Bacteria
Description: bacterial SSU rRNA
Rfam family: Bacterial small subunit ribosomal RNA
Source: RNAcentral